This 254-nucleotide ribosomal RNA is filed under the name uncultured bacterium. Its description in RNAcentral is "partial 16S ribosomal RNA". It matches the Rfam family "Bacterial small subunit ribosomal RNA", at positions 524 to 776 of the family's 1533-position model. The record is from RNAcentral.
UACGGGGGGAGCAAGCGUUGUUCGGAUUUACUGGGCGUAAAGGGCGCGUAGGCGGCCAGCACAAGUCAGUUGUGAAAUCUCCGAGCUUAACUCGGAAAGGUCAACUGAUACUGUGCGGCUAGAGUGCGGAAGGGGCAACUGGAAUUCUUGGUGUAGCGGUGAAAUGCGUAGAUAUCAAGAGGAACACCUGCGGCGAAGGCGGGUUGCUGGGCUGACACUGACGCUGAGGCGCGAAAGCCAGGGGAGCGAACGGG